Molecule: long non-coding RNA, 2867 nt
Organism: Salvia miltiorrhiza (redroot sage)
Lineage: Eukaryota; Viridiplantae; Streptophyta; Magnoliopsida; Lamiales; Lamiaceae
Exons: 2
Source: RefSeq, a predicted model, not a curated record
GGGCUUCUUCGAAACAUUCUUCAUUACCACCUUGUGCCGGUAAUACGUUUCCUUUCCCACAGUCCAUGUAUUUGUGAUUGAGUGAAGAAACUCGAUGGGGGUUUCUGCAAGAAUCGCCAUAAUUUGUUGUCAAUUUUAAAGGGCUGGUGUGUAUGUGGGAGAUGAGCCUGUAAGAAUCAAACGGGAUUGGAUGAUGCUUGAUGAUGAAAUGCAUAUUACAUGAAUGUAAAAAGUCCCAAAUGAGCAACUAUUAUCUAAUUGAAUGUUUAUAGAGUUAAUUGUCUAUGAAUAAACGAAGAAUAAACGAGUUUCCGGCUUCCAGAAAGAAUUAAGUGUGGCCGAAAUUCUAAUUUGGACCGAAUUUAAAAAAAAUAAAAGUUCAUUCAUUGUUUGACCAAGAAAAUAGUAAUGUUAAAAAUAAAAAUUUGGGAAUACUUAUUGUAUUUUUAGGCAAUUAACCCAUGUUUAUAUGUGCAUUUGUGUGUGGUUUUUCUUUCAAACUGAUAUUCCUAUUGAUUCAGAGAAAUCAAUAAAGCAGAAUGAGCAGGAAUUUCUCAACAUCAACAUGCUUUUGCAAGUUGCAACAACAAACCUUCUGGCUUGUGGUAAGGAGUGGAAGGCUUCGGUGGUUCUUGCUUAUCAGAACCUGCAAAACGAGGCUAAUUGAGUCGAACACACGCUGUUGAAACUGCACAAAACCAAGGGGUCAAUUUACCUGCAGAAUCUCCAGGCAGGCUGUGGAGUUUGCAGAAUAGGCCUACAAGAGGGGCUGUGCCUGAUAAUGUUGGCUCGGUCUGCUCAUAGUUAGACCUGUCAUCUACGAACUCGUCGUUGGCAUUUGGGCCGCCGACUAGUGCUCCAUGUAUGACGUUAGGAUUGGCCUCCGGGCGUUUGUACCAUGCCUCAAAUCCUUCAAUACACCCCACUGCUGAACGAAGGAGGGAGACGGGGGCAAUAGAUGCGCCUCUGUGAUGAACAUGGGCUGGAUAGUUGUUCCCACAGCCGACUACGUAGCUCAAGUUCUUGGGAUUCUUGCCAAGAAUGUAAUCAGCCUGCCAAAGAUUGGAUUUGUCAGUAGCAAAUUCAGCACAAAACAAGCAAGAAGAAGAUGAUUGAUAUAUAUACUUGUGAUUUUGCAAAGUUGAGAAGAUCUUGAGGCUGGAGUUGGGCUUCCGGGCAUUUCACAACGCCUUUCGCCUUUGCAAGAUACUCCGAGUAGACAGCAAUGACAAAUGCAGCAGAGGCAGAGUACUGCAGAUUGUUCCACUCCCGUAGAUAGAGCAGUCCACCUAAAGAGGAAACAUAACAACAUUGUUCAAGGAUGGGCGUUUCUUGCAAGAAUGAUGGUUGAAAAGGUUAAAAUCGAGGUGCUGCUACUGCUACUAACCAGGAGUCGUGGGCACAUUGUAGCCGUCGUUCUUCUGCAUGCAGGCGCAGGCGAAGUAAUCAGCCUUGGCUUGGUAUUGCUGCAAUGUGGAAGUGUAUGCUCCUCCACCUCCAUCCAUCAACACCUACACACAUUUCAGACCGAGAAGGUUACAGUUUUUUCGACCUUAUAAGUAGGAAAGUAGGAUUCAUUUUUGCAAGAUUUUGUGGUGCAUUACCUUUGAGAGAAGAAUCUGAACUCCAGCAUACUUGUUGUCCCAAGAGAACUCCUUCACAGCCCAUCCAGUUCCACCCAAGGAGGCACAGUUCUCUACGACAUAUUUCAGGUAAUACUCGUCACUCGUGGCGCGAUACAGCCACGUGGCAGCCCACAGCAGCUCAUCCUAGGAUGCAGGACUGUCACAGUCAGAGCAAGAAACACAACAUCUUGAAGAAAGAGAGAAUCUUGGAGAUGGAUUUAGACACAUACUGAAUAACCAGUUGAUGUGUAGAACUGCUUAGCAGAUGGAACAGAAUCAUGGUAAAAGCCUCUGAAUCUGUCUGCAAAUGAGAAGAGCUGCUUAGCAUGCACUAACAGGAGAUCGGAGUAGGCGGAGUCGUAGGGCUUGAAGGCGAGGCAGGCAGCGGCCAUGGCAGCGGCAGUUUCUCCGGUGAGGUCCGAUCCCGGAUGUUCGGGGUCUAGCUUGUACGCUGUCCUAGGAGUCGUCAUGUCCUCCGCACGCUCCCAGCAGUAAUGAUCCGACACUCCGUCUCCGACCUGAUUGUCGGAGUCGGAAAAAGUUAGUUGUGAAGUUGCCUCGUGGGUGAUCUAAUUGGUGAAGUGACAAGCUAAUGAUAGAUAGAAUGUUGUGUUACCUGUCCCCAAAGAACAUUUGGCUGAGGAUGUGCUUUGAUGAAGUAAUCAGUGCCCCAUUUGAUGGCUUCCAAAGUGGGUCCCAUUUGAUUGGACCUCACCAACUCUGCCUUAAAAUCCACAGCGCCCCAAGAUAGCAUCGUUGCAGCGAACGCCAUAGGCUGUCCGAAUUUGACAUGAUCUCCGCCGUCGUAGUAUCCUCCAACCAAGUUCACCUGUUGGUGUAGAGAAAACAUGUUUUAUGUUUAUGCACAUACUCGUGUUUUUCGCGUAAAAAAAUAAAAUAAAGAAAGUAAGGUCUAUGGUACAAACCCCUUGACCAUAACCAUCGCGGAGACCCGAAUCACCGCGCCAUUUUACGCGUUGGUUCGUGGGUAGUUUACCGGAUCGUUGUGCCUCGAAGAACAGUAACGUCUUGUCGAGGGCGUCGCCAUAGUCGAACGCAGAGACGAUGGUUGGCCGGAGAGCAAUUAAGGCAGCUAGCAAGGGCAGAAUGCAACGUGAUGAUGAGAGUCUCAUCAUCUUCUUUUUGGGUUGAGCAAGUUGUGUAGAUGAUGAAUUUCUAUGUACGAUAUGAAUAAUCUUGAUAUAUAUAGUUUGGUAAUGGAAUAAGCUUGUUUAGUAAUUA